GUCGAACGGGUGUACAGAAGGGAAGAUUUCGGUCGGAAGAUCUGUGCAUGAGUGGCGGACGGGUGAGUAACGCGUGGGCAACCUGGCCUGUACAGGGGGAUAACACUUAGAAAUAGGUGCUAAUACCGCAUAACGGGAGAAGCCGCAUGGCUUUUUCCUGAAAACUCCGGUGGUACAGGAUGGGCCCGCGUCUGAUUAGCCAGUUGGCAGGGUAACGGCCUACCAAAGCGACGAUCAGUAGCCGGCCUGAGAGGGCGGACGGCCACACUGGGACUGAGACACGGCCCAGACUCCUACGGGAGGCAGCAGUGGGGGAUAUUGCACAAUGGGGGAAACCCUGAUGCAGCGACGCCGCGUGGGUGAAGAAGCGCCUCGGCGCGUAAAGCCCUGUCAGCAGGGAAGAAAAUGACGGUACCUGAAGAAGAAGCCCCGGCUAACUACGUGCCAGCAGCCGCGGUAAUACGUAAGGGGCAAGCGUUAUCCGGAUUUACUGGGUGUAAAGGGGGCGCAGACGGCGAUGCAAGCCAGGAGUGAAAGCCCGGGGCCCAACCCCGGGACUGCUCUUGGAACUGCGUGGCUAGAGUGCAGGAGGGGCAGGCGGAAUUCCUGGUGUAGCGGUGAAAUGCGUAGAUAUCAGGAGGAACGCCGGUGGCGAAGGCGGCCUGCUGGACUGCAACUGAC
Molecule: ribosomal RNA, 681 nt
Filed under: uncultured bacterium
Lineage: Bacteria
Description: bacterial SSU rRNA
Rfam family: Bacterial small subunit ribosomal RNA
Source: RNAcentral